AUUGAACGCUGGCGGCAUGCCUUACACAUGCAAGUCGAACGGCAGCACGGGUGCUUGCACCUGGUGGCGAGUGGCGAACAGGUGAGUAAUACAUCGGAACAUGUCCUGUAGUGGGGGAUAGCCCGGCGAAAGCCGGAUUAAUACCGCAUACGAUCUACGUAUGAAAGCGGGGGACCUUCGGGCCUCGCGCUAUAGGGUUGGCCGAUGGCUGAUUAGCUAGUUGGUGGGGUAAAGGCCUACCAAGGCGACGAUCAGUGGCUGGUCUGAGAGGACGACCAGCCACACUGGGACUGAGACACGGCCCAGACUCCUACGGGAGGCAGCAGUGGGGAAUUUUGGACAAUGGGCGAAAGCCUGAUCCAGCAAUGCCGCGUGUGUGAAGAAGGCCUUCGGGUUGUAAAGCACUUUUGUCCGGAAAGAAAUCCUUGGCUCUAAUACAGUCGGGGGAUGACGGUACCGGAAGAAUAAGCACCGGCUAACUACGUG
This 486-nucleotide ribosomal RNA is filed under the name uncultured bacterium. RNAcentral's name for it is "partial 16S ribosomal RNA". It matches the Rfam family "Bacterial small subunit ribosomal RNA", at positions 30 to 507 of the family's 1533-position model. The record is from RNAcentral.